Molecule: ribosomal RNA, 521 nt
Filed under: Cadophora malorum
Lineage: Eukaryota; Fungi; Ascomycota; Leotiomycetes; Helotiales; Ploettnerulaceae
Description: eukaryotic LSU rRNA
Rfam family: 5.8S ribosomal RNA (bases 194-347)
Source: RNAcentral
ACCGAAGCUUGCUUCGUGGGGUUUCGAGCCGUCGACCCUCUCGGAGAAGGUCGGUCCUGAACUCCACCCUUGAAUAAAUUACCUUUGUUGCUUUGGCGGGCCGCCUCGGCGCCAGCGGCUUCGGCUGUUGAGUGCCCGCCAGAGGACCACAACUCUUGUUUUUAGUGAUGUCUGAGUACUAUAUAAUAGUUAAAACUUUCAACAACGGAUCUCUUGGUUCUGGCAUCGAUGAAGAACGCAGCGAAAUGCGAUAAGUAAUGUGAAUUGCAGAAUUCAGUGAAUCAUCGAAUCUUUGAACGCACAUUGCGCCCUCUGGUAUUCCGGGGGGCAUGCCUGUUCGAGCGUCAUUAUAACCACUCAAGCUCUCGCUUGGUAUUGGGGUUCGCGGUUCCGCGGCCCCUAAAAUCAGUGGCGGUGCCUGUCGGCUCUACGCGUAGUAAUACUCCUCGCGUCUGGGUCCGGUAGGUCUACUUGCCAGCAACCCCCAAUUUUUACAGGUUGACCUCGGAUCAGGUAGGGAU